CUAUCCUACCGCUUCUUGGCCCGCCGCGCCAGAGACGACGAGCCACCGGCGCCGGCAUCCCGGAAGAUGGAGCAGGGCGCGCAGCAGAUGGCGAGCACCCUCGGCGACGGUGGCUCGGCGGCCGGGGCUACGUCCCUGGUCCGAAACGCCUUCCUGCCAGGCACCAGCUCCUCCUGCUUCUUGUGGUGGCCCUUCAGGUUCGGCUUGGCCAGCGUCAGCUUCCUCUUGUCGUCGCGAUCUGCCUCGCCGCCGAGCAGCAGCAUGGCGACGCUGCCGACGCUCCUCGAGUGCCGCAGCUCCGGCUGCUGGCGUGGCGCCGCC
Molecule: unclassified non-coding RNA, 321 nt
Filed under: Zea mays
Lineage: Eukaryota; Viridiplantae; Streptophyta; Magnoliopsida; Poales; Poaceae
Description: misc RNA Zm00001eb235500
Source: RNAcentral